UGCAAUUGUGGGCAGGGCACUCUAUUUAAGCUCCUGCUGAGAAAUGCAAAUACAUUGAGCAGAUGUAUUGCUAUCCCAAGUCUCUGAAAAAGUCUCUGAAAAUUUCUGAAAGGUCAGUCUGUAAGCCAUUUUGGAAGGAGGUUUGUGAUGAACAGUCUCUUUGAAUCACUGGAACAUUACUUUGCGUUUGUACCUAUGCAGAUUAUUUAUUUUAACAAGAAUUGUGUGCAGUGUUGUACCAAAAUAUGGGCAUAAAAUUAUAUUGUUGCAUAGUGUGUAGCCUCAGUUAAAAUAUAUCAAGUAAAACGUACCUAGAACUAUAAUAUGACCUUUAAAGUGUAUAAGUAUACAGCAGGGAUGGAAACAUCCAAUUCCAUAUAACUAUUUCAAGGAUUUUCUGUUAGGUGUCGUUUUCAGUCUGUGUGUUACUAUUUAAGCAGUAUAUUUUCCAAGUAUUUCUAAUGUAUUAAAAAAUAAAAAAUGUUGAACAAGAGAGCUUUUUGCCACCAUGUUAAGCUGCAACCCUUUGCAUGGCAGUUACAACUGAGUAUAAAACUACGCAAGCCAAAAAUGCAGACCAGUGGAAAGCAUGUCCAAAAUACUAAUUACAGUGUAUUUAUGAUUUUUUUUUUCCCUCCACACAGUGAAGGAGAGUAUGGACUUCGAGCUUACUACUGGAAUACAUUCUGGGCACCACAAGACAUUGUUGAUUCUCUUAAAAAGUUAACCUCAUUGGAACAAAAAGAAAUCAGUAGUAAACAAUUCCCUCACAUGUUCAGUACUUCUGGGGAGGAAGAUUUUGAUCUUGUUACAAUGGAGCUUUUUGGUAACAAUUUUCAGAUUCCACAGAAUAUGAUGCGAUGCUAAAAUCAGCGGUAUCCUUUGACCUGUAUGCCAAGCCAGGUAACAACAGAUCUCUAACUCUGAUGAAUCCCAAGAAGUCUUUUUAUCAAUGGAGGUUGCGAGUUCCUUCUAACUAUGUGGUGAGACUGGUAGUUACCACUUUGCAUGGUGUCGCUCCAGAGAACUGUGCAUCACACCGCUUAUCUGCAUAUGAUUUCCUUCUUCCUCUACAGAACAAGAUCAUCGCAAGGUAUGGUAGUACAGGACAAAGAUGUUUUUUGAGCUGUACAGAAAUUCUCUGAAACUGCAGAGUUUAAAAUUGAUGUUAAGCAGGCUUCCAAAACGUAAAAGCCUCCAAGUACAGCUUAAUUAAAAAUCUGUAAUAAGGUAAUCAAAAGAUCUUCCAUAUUAUCCACCCCCUAAUGACUUAUAACUCCAGCAUUUUUUUUUACAUUCUGACUGUUUUUUUUACAGUGUUUGAUUUCAUACAAUUAUUGAUACAAAGGUACUUUUUUUGUUAUUUUUUCUGUUACUUUCAGAAAAUACGUCCAGUCACAGGCAAACCUCUGUUGAAAACAGGCUUUUAUCUACAGAAGACUUCAUCCCCAAAGUCCCUUUGUAGUUCACUCACAUAAAUGAUAUCAGAUGAUCUUGUAAUCUUCAGCUACCACUGUUACUAUUCUUCCAGAGACUAAUUUUAUGAUUUUAAGUAUGGACGUUAUCCGCCAUGAAUCUGCCUUCAUUAAUAAAAUAAACUAACAAGUUUUAGAAUCUGAAAAU
This 1623-nucleotide long non-coding RNA is filed under the name Anser brachyrhynchus (Pink-footed goose). Its description in RNAcentral is "lncRNA (ENSABRG00000004226.1)". Lineage: Eukaryota; Metazoa; Chordata; Aves; Anseriformes; Anatidae. The record is from RNAcentral.